GGGGCAGACAAAACGACAGGUCAAGGGCAGGUCGGUAAUCCAGGGCAGAGUCCGUAAGGUACAGAACAACGGGCAGGCUCAGGGUCAGGGCAGGCAGAGGUCAGUAAUCCAGGGCAGAGUCAGAAAGGUACAGAAUGGCAGGCAGGCUCAGGGCAGGCAGAGGUCAGUAAUCCAGGGCAGAGUCAGAAAGGUACAGAACGACAGGCAGGCUCAGGGUCAGGGCAGGCAGAGGUCAGUAAUCCAGGGCAGAGUCAGAAAGGUACAGAACGACAGGCAGGCUCAGGGUCAGGGCAGGCAGAGGUCAGUAAUCCAGGGCAGAGUCAGAAAGGUACAGAACGGCAGGCAGGCUCAGGGCAGGCAGUGGGCAGUAAUCCAGGGCAGUGUUAGAAAGGUACAGAACGGCAGGCAGGCUCAGGGUCAGGGCAGGCAGAGGUCAAAACUGGAAGAACUAGAAAAUAGGGACUAGAGAGAACAGGAGUACGGGGAAAACCACGCUGGUAGGCUUGACG
This 509-nucleotide long non-coding RNA is filed under the name Salmo salar (Atlantic salmon). Its description in RNAcentral is "lncRNA (ENSSSAG00000121902.1)". Lineage: Eukaryota; Metazoa; Chordata; Actinopteri; Salmoniformes; Salmonidae. The record is from RNAcentral.